RNAcentral lists this ribosomal RNA (460 nucleotides) under uncultured bacterium. RNAcentral's name for it is "partial 16S ribosomal RNA". It matches the Rfam family "Bacterial small subunit ribosomal RNA", at positions 338 to 795 of the family's 1533-position model. The record is from RNAcentral.
CCUACGGGAGGCAGCAGUGAGGAAUAUUGGUCAAUGGGCUUACGCCUGAACCAGCCAAGUCGCGUGAGGGAAGACUGCCCUAUGGGUUGUAAACCUCUUUUGUCAGGGAGCAAUUGGCGCUACGUGUAGCGUUAUCGAGAGUAACUGAAGAACAAGCAUCGGCUAACUCCGUGCCAGGAGCCGCGGUAAUACGGGGGAUGCGAGCGUGAUCCGGAUUUAUUGGGGUUGAAGGAGGCGUAGGCGGAAUGCCAAGUCAGCGGGAAAAGUGCGGGGCCCAACCUCGCUCCGCCGUUGAAAAUGGCGUUCUUGAGUGGGCGAGAGGUAUGCGGAAUGCGUGGUGUAGCGGUGAAAUGCAUAGAUAUCACGCAGAACUCCGGUUGCGAAGGCAGCAUACCGGCGCCCAACUGACGCUGAAGCACGAAAGCGUGGGUAUCGAACAGGAUUAGAUACCCUUGUAGUC